RNAcentral lists this ribosomal RNA (309 nucleotides) under uncultured Meliniomyces. Its description in RNAcentral is "eukaryotic LSU rRNA". It matches the Rfam family "Eukaryotic large subunit ribosomal RNA", at positions 1 to 305 of the family's 3401-position model. Lineage: Eukaryota; Fungi; Ascomycota; Leotiomycetes; Helotiales; Helotiaceae. The record is from RNAcentral.
UUGACCUCGGAUCAGGUAGGGAUACCCGCUGAACUUAAGCAUAUCAAUAAGCGGAGGAAAAGAAACCAACAGGGAUUGCCUCAGUAACGGCGAGUGAAGCGGCAACAGCUCAAAUUUGAAAUCUGGCUCUUUCAGGGUCCGAGUUGUAAUUUGUAGAAGAUGCUUUGGGUGUGGCUCCGGUCUAAGUUCCUUGGAACAGGACGUCAUAGAGGGUGAGAAUCCCGUACGUGACUGGUUGCCUCCGCCCGUGUAAAGCUCUUUCGACGAGUCGAGUUGUUUGGGAAUGCAGCUCAAAAUGGGUGGUAAAUU